Molecule: long non-coding RNA, 212 nt
Filed under: Ricinus communis (castor bean)
Lineage: Eukaryota; Viridiplantae; Streptophyta; Magnoliopsida; Malpighiales; Euphorbiaceae
Description: long non-coding RNA (RCOM_LNC000738)
Source: RNAcentral
AUAUAGAAAAAUUACGGAGUUAUUUUCUCGGACUGAUAAAAACAGUCGUUUUACGGGGUUGAUUUGUCAUAUUACAAAACUUACCGCUUUUACGAGGUUGUUUUCUCAAACUCGCAAUUACACUACUUUUACUGGCUCAUUUUCUCAUAUUCAUAAAUAUGCACGUUUUACGGUAUUAUUUCUUAUAAUGAUAAAUAUACCACUUUUACGGG